RNAcentral lists this ribosomal RNA (492 nucleotides) under uncultured bacterium. RNAcentral's name for it is "bacterial SSU rRNA". It matches the Rfam family "Bacterial small subunit ribosomal RNA", at positions 28 to 507 of the family's 1533-position model. The record is from RNAcentral.
GAUGAACGCUAGCUACAGGCUUAACACAUGCAAGUCGAGGGGCAGCAUGACGAUAGCUUGCUAUUGUUGAUGGCGACCGGCGCACGGGUGAGUAACGCGUAUCCAACCUGCCCUUGUCCACGGGAUAACCCGGUGAAAAACCGGCCUAAUACCGUAUGAGGUCACAAGCGGGCAUCCAACUGUGACGAAAGGUUUUGCGGACAAGGAUGGGGAUGCGUCCGAUUAGCUUGACGGCGGGGUAACGGCCCACCGUGGCGACGAUCGGUAGGGGUUCUGAGAGGAAGGUCCCCCCACAUUGGAACUGAGACACGGUCCAAACUCCUACGGGAGGCAGCAGUGAGGAAUAUUGGUCAAUGGACGGGAGUCUGAACCAGCCAAGUAGCGUGCAGGAUGACGGCCCUAUGGGUUGUAAACUGCUUUUGUGCGGGGAUAAAGUGUGGGACGCGUCCCAUAUUGCAGGUACCGCAUGAAUAAGGACCGGCUAAUUCCGUG